ACGUAGGGUGCAAGCGUUAAUCGGAAUUACUGGGCGUAAAGCGUGCGCAGGCGGUUUUUUAAGACAGGUGUGAAAUCCCCGGGCUUAACCUGGGAAUGGCAUUUGUGACUGGAAGGCUAGAGUGUGUCAGAGGGGGGUAGAAUUCCACGUGUAGCAGUGAAAUGCGUAGAGAUGUGGAGGAAUACCGAUGGCGAAGGCAGCCCCCUGGGAUAACACUGACGCUCAUGCACGAAAGCGUGGGGAGCAAACAGG
Molecule: ribosomal RNA, 252 nt
Filed under: uncultured bacterium
Lineage: Bacteria
Description: partial 16S ribosomal RNA
Rfam family: Bacterial small subunit ribosomal RNA
Source: RNAcentral